UUAAAGGAAUUGACGGAAGGGCACCACCAGGAGUGGAGCCUGCGGCUUAAUUUGACUCAACGCGGGGAAACUUACCCGGCCCGGACACCGUAAGGAUUGACAGAUUGAGAGCUCUUUCUUGAUUCGGUGGGUGGUGGUGCAUGGCCGUUCUUAGUUGGUGGAGCGAUUUGUCUGGUUAAUUCCGAUAACGAACGAGACUCUAGCCUAUUAAAUAGUCGGUGAAUCCUUUGUUCACUGCACUUCUUAGAGGGACAGAAGGCGUCUAGCCUUACGAGAUUGAGCAAUAACAGGUCUGUGAUGCCCUUAGAUGUUCGGGGCUGCACGCGCGCUACACUGAAGGAUUCAACGUGAUUCUUCGCCUGUUCUGGAAAGAAUGGGUAACCCGUUGAAACUCCUUCGUGAUUGGGAUAGGGGCUUGUAAUUAUUCCCCUUGAACGAGGAAUUCCUAGUAAGUGCGGGUCAUCAUCUCGCGUUGAUUACGUCCCUGCCCUUUGUACACACCGCCCGUCGCUACUACCGAUUGGAUGAUUUAGUGAGGAGUUCGGACCGGCGCCAAAGCGGCUUCGCGGUUGCUUCGGCGAUUGGGAAGAUUUCCAAACUGGAUUAUCUAGAGGAAGUAAAAGUCGUAACAAGGUUUCC
This 639-nucleotide ribosomal RNA is filed under the name Tripylina iandrassyi. RNAcentral's name for it is "SSU rRNA". It matches the Rfam family "Eukaryotic small subunit ribosomal RNA", at positions 1144 to 1804 of the family's 1831-position model. The record is from RNAcentral. Lineage: Eukaryota; Metazoa; Nematoda; Enoplea; Enoplida; Trischistomatidae.